AGAGUUUGAUCAUGGCUCAGGAUGAACGCUAGCUACAGGCUUAACACAUGCAAGUCGAGGGGCAGCAUGUUGGUUGCUUGCAACCAAUGAUGGCGACCGGCGCACGGGUGAGUAACGCGUAUCCAACCUACCCUUGUCCAUCGGAUAACCCGUCGAAAGGCGGCCUAACACGAUAUGCGGUUCUCAGCAGGCAUCUAACGAGAACGAAAUGUGAAGGAGAAGGAUGGGGAUGCGUCUGAUUAGCUUGUUGGCGGGGUAACGGCCCACCAAGGCGACGAUCAGUAGGGGUUCUGAGAGGAAGGUCCCCCANAUUGGAACUGAGACACGGUCCAAACUCUACGGGAGGCA
This 348-nucleotide ribosomal RNA is filed under the name uncultured bacterium. Its description in RNAcentral is "bacterial SSU rRNA". It matches the Rfam family "Bacterial small subunit ribosomal RNA", at positions 8 to 350 of the family's 1533-position model. The record is from RNAcentral.